Engraulis encrasicolus (European anchovy) is the source of this 1246-nucleotide long non-coding RNA. RefSeq lists it as uncharacterized. Lineage: Eukaryota; Metazoa; Chordata; Actinopteri; Clupeiformes; Engraulidae. The record is from RefSeq and is a predicted model, not a curated record. The transcript has 3 exons.
UUUGUGUUGAUAUUUUCGUUGUAAUUUUCGCUCAAAGUAUGUACAUUAGCGCCAUUAAUGUCCGCGAUCGUUAUGAAGUUAACAGGUGCUAACGAGCCUAUUGUGUCGCAGGAAUGCCGUUCGCUUCGACCCCUUGCAGUGUGCCUCAUUGUGUCCGCCCUGUCAGGUAUGUGUUAAUGUAUGAAAGAGAUCCCUGUGGUAUUUUCGGUGAUAAACAUUGUGUUUUCUUUUGGUUUUAACUUUGUAAACUAUACGAUCUAAGUGCCUUGGUUUCUCUAUUACACUGUAAACAGUAGCUUGUCUAGCUGCUGUAGUGUUCUCUCACUUCUGGAAGAUUGGCAAGGGGAAAGCCGUUUGCUUCGACCCCAAAGAAUCUGCUUGCAGUGUGCCUCAUUGUGUCCGCCCUGUCUUGUUUCAGAUUGGGAAGUAAAUAAAUGCUACUGGAUCGAGGCCCCUCAUCUCUCCUGCCUCUUCAAUCAUCCAAAGACUGUUUAGUCUGUUAUUUUAAUGUAAUGGUCGGUUCAUGUCCGUUGCAUUGACUUGACUUGUCAUUGGGUCUGAUUUUAAAUGUGCCAUAUAGUUCAAUGUGGGAGCAGGUUCACACACUAAAUAAGACACUCAAUUUAUUUAUUUUUCUCAGAGCAGAGUAGAGCAGAUGUUUCAGGUUGCUGCCAUCAGAGAGCAGUGACUUGACCUCAGUGUCUUAUUUAGUGUACUCCCACAUUGAACUCUACUUUUUGGGUCCACGCACCUACUUAUUUCUAAACAUCUAGAGUGCAACAAUACCCCUGCCUCCUAAUGUGCCAUAUAACCUGUAUCUCGCCUAUUGUGUGUGUGUGUGUGUUUGUGAAUGUGUUCACGCAGAUAUAAGAAGUUGGGGUUGGGGUUGAUGAUCCACAUGAUGGUGAUGGACCAGGACAGCUCUGGACCUCCUGACUGGCAGCUCCAUCCUCAACCUCCCUUCCUGUCCUUCACACAUGUGCAGGCAGAGAGGCAGUUUUCUGAAGGAUGGUUAAUGUCAGUACCAACAUGUUGUGAUGGAGGCUUCCACCUGAGCUGAACACAGAAACUUGCACACAGUGAUGGAAGCAGUCGUUCCUGUUCAGCAUUGAUAUGCCGGUAAUGGGUUUGAUGAACCACAGCAUGGUGAUGGGCAAUCAGCAUCAGGACCAGGGCCGCUCACAAGGAGAACCUCCUGCCUUGCCUCUUCAUCCUCAACCUCCAAUCUUCCUGCUCUUCACACAUG